Molecule: long non-coding RNA, 208 nt
Filed under: Lathyrus oleraceus (garden pea)
Lineage: Eukaryota; Viridiplantae; Streptophyta; Magnoliopsida; Fabales; Fabaceae
Description: Pisum sativum (pea) long non-coding RNA (PSAT_LNC025686)
Source: RNAcentral
UUUUGGGGGUAAAGAUAGUAAUCACUGAAGAAUCAAUUGCUUCCUUGUUGAACAUGGAGAAAGAUGGAGGAAAAAGGAUUUACAACAUCAACCCUAGAUCAAGGCGCGUUGCUGAAGUAAUUAAUCCAACCAUCUUCAAACCCAACACUGAAGGAAAUCCUUCAAAGAACAAAGAGCUGCAUCAGAACCUCAGAGUGUGGCUCAAGAU